This 275-nucleotide ribosomal RNA is filed under the name uncultured bacterium. Its description in RNAcentral is "partial 16S ribosomal RNA". It matches the Rfam family "Bacterial small subunit ribosomal RNA", at positions 338 to 630 of the family's 1533-position model. The record is from RNAcentral.
CCUACGGGAGGCAGCAGUGGGGAGUAUUGGACAAUGGGGGCAACCCUGAUCCAGCAAUGCCGCGUGGGUGAUGAAGGCCUUCGGGUUGUAAAGCCCUUUCGGCGGGGACGAUGAUGACGGUACCCGCAGAAGAAGCCCCGGCUAACUUCGUGCCAGCAGCCGCGGUAAUACGAAGGGGGCUAGCGUUGUUCGGAAUGACUGGGCGUAAAGGGCGCGUAGGCGGCGAUUUUAGUCAGGCGUGAAAGCCCUGGGCUCAACCUAGGAACUGCGUUUGA